Molecule: long non-coding RNA, 2194 nt
Organism: Scylla paramamosain (green mud crab)
Lineage: Eukaryota; Metazoa; Arthropoda; Malacostraca; Decapoda; Portunidae
Exons: 2
Source: RefSeq, a predicted model, not a curated record
UCGCUACCUCAUUGCAAGAGGGUCGUAACUCCAAAUUUGCUAGUUUUGAGUUAUAUGGUGUACAAGAUUGCCGAAUUGAUUCUGCAUCUUUUGGUAAAAGAGUCGUAAAUCUAGGUGAAUUAGCGGCCGAGAGAUGGCACUAAGAAGAUUUUUAGUGAACAUCAAAAUAUCUCUGAGGGUUGUGGCAACAGUGUCGUAGUCAGUGUUACUAUGGCAGUCGUUGAGGUAACAUCUCUCGAAUUUUGUUCAUGACUGUUGUAAGUAGGUUUUACGACUCUUUUACAACUAAAGUGAGAGCACACAAGUGGUGUUCUAUUUCUAGUUAAGGCUUUCUAGCAGUGAAAAAUAAUAAUUUCUUAAAGUGACUUGACGUGAUAAAUCAAAUUGUGUCUUUCUUGUACAAAAAUUUUAAUAGAAAAGUGUGUGGUAAAACAAAAUGUGACAAUAUUGAACAAAAAGUCCGAGAAAACACUUGAUAUAAUAUGACUUGCGUCUCUUUAACUACAAAACCACCAAAACCACCAAUUUAGUAACAAUAUCUUACAAUGAAUUGCAGCUGUGUUGCAGAAAAAUGUCUUAUCAAAAACGCAAUUGUCCUUGUUGUAACAUAACAAAUGUCAGUUUAGAUACAAAACAUUGCAGUCAUUUUCAAUUACUACAUUGCUUUUCAGAAUUUACUCAUGAUUAAUUAAUGAUGUCCCGUGGAUUGAAAUGUGUGCAAAUGGCAUUGCAAAGAAGAACAAAAUUGGAACAGGCUAGUGAGAAAGACGGAUCGGUAUCAGAAUGAGUACAAUAUCGCUUUCUUUGCUCCUAAGAAAGAUCAGUGUGACUUGUGUGUGUUGUUCAAUAAUGCAGAUGGGGAAGCUAAGGAAAACUUAAAAGAAAAGUAUGACACACAUCAAUGUGAAAAGGUACUUUCAAGGGAAGAGAAGAAGCAAGAUAAAACUGAAGGAAAUGCUAUAGUUGCUGUGUAUGAUCUACAAGCCGUACUGCAACUUCCACAAGGUGAUGUAUCCACCUUCUAUUACAAAUCAAAAUUUAAUGUCCUAAAUUUCACAAUUUAUGAUAUCAAGACUAAUGAAUGUGACUGUUUUCUUUGGGAUGAAACAAAUGGUAAUAGAGGAGUGAAUGAAAUAGGCUCUUGCAUCCUAAGUUAUAUUAAAGAAUUAUGUGAUAAGAAUCAAGGAGAAGACAACAUUGAAAUAAUUUUCUAUUCUGAUAACUGUGCUGGGCAACAAAAAAACAAAUUUAUGCUUGCAUUGUAUUUGUAUGUUGUCACUAAUUUGCCUGUUAAGUCAAUCACCCAUAAAUAUCUGAUAAAAGGCCACACACAGAAUGAAGGCGACUCUGCGCAUUCUCUGAUUGAAAAACAAAUAAGGAGACUGAAGAAAGGGGGACCAAUAUUCGUUCCUGAAACCCUUGUCACUGCGAUUCGCUCUGCAAAGAAAACAGGCCAGCCGUUCCAAGUUCGCGUAAUGCAGUAUGAUGACUUUAAAAAUGUGAAGUCUCUUACUACACAAAUGGGAGCAAUCAAUGUCAAAGAUUUAAGAUUAAGUGAAAUCAAAGUCAUGAAGUUUGAAAAGCAAUGUCCAGCCUCAGUCUUAGUGAAAUAUUCAUACAGUGAUGAAUUCAAACGUGUUCUAUUGAUCAGAAAACCAAAGGUUGCCACAGAUCUCUUGCAGUGUUACUCAGAGAAAAUUCCCCUAAGCGAAAAUAAGAAAAAAGAUCUUAAAGAACUCUGUGAAAAAGGCUUAAUCCCACGUCCCUAUUCGGACUUUUUUAACAACAUUACCUAAUUUUGAUGCUUAAUUGGUCACAAAGAUGUAAUACUUAUCAUUCAUUUUUUUUUUAUAACUGAGUUACGGCCAAGGGUAACAAAAAUUUAAAGGAAAUACUUGCUUCAUGUAAUUUAAACCUAUCUAUUUGAAAGAUUUCAUUAAUUUGAAGGAAAUUGUUUGCUUUAUGUGGCUGAACCAAUUGAUUUGAAAGAAAAAAAACUUUUUUUUUUUUUUUUUUACUUUUUUUUUCUUGGUAUGCAUUUUGUUGGAAGAAUAACAACAGAAUAUAAUGGUAUAAUAUAUUUCUGAAUAGGUACACAGCAUUUAUGAUUUAUUUCAAUUUGUUUUGUUACUGAAUGGAUAAAUACUGUUCUUUUUGUAAGGAAUAUUUAGUUUUAUAAUAAACUGGAAUCAUA